Molecule: long non-coding RNA, 383 nt
Filed under: Rosa chinensis
Lineage: Eukaryota; Viridiplantae; Streptophyta; Magnoliopsida; Rosales; Rosaceae
Description: sRNA RchiOBHm_Chr6g0249271
Source: RNAcentral
CCCUAACAGGCACACUCUUCAGUGUCUUCUCCGAUUCCGUCCGCUCUUCUCCGCCGAAAAACGGCUGAAUCGCCAACAUUCCCACCACUUUCUGAUCCCGAAACUCUUGCCCGCUCGCUCUGAUCGCCACGUGGUGCGCUAUGUUCCCGCCGGCGCUGUCCCCGGCCAGAAAACACUCCCCGAGAUUCGCGCCCCCGAACAAGCUGCUUUGACUGUCGUCGAUGAACUUGAGGACGUCGAAACCGUUGUCGUACUGGCACGGAUACCGAUGUUUUGGCGCGAGGCGGUAGUUGACGGUCGCACCAGAGAGCGUCAGGGGCUGACAGGAAGAAGCUCAAGAGGACCGUCAAGGAGAGAUUUCCCAGAGCUUCCGACGCCGAUAU